GACGAACGCUGGCGGCGUGCCUAAUACAUGCAAGUAGAACGCUGAAGGAGGAGCUUGCUUCUCUGGAUGAGUUGCGAACGGGUGAGUAACGCGUAGGUAACCUGCCUGGUAGCGGGGGAUAGCUAUUGGAAACGAUAGCUAAUACCGCAUAAUAGUAGAUGUUGCAUGACAUUUACUUAAAAGGUGCAAUUGCAUCACUACCAGAUGGACCUGCGUUGUAUUAGCUAGUAGGUGGGGUAACGGCUCACCAAGGCGACGAUACAUAGCCGACCUGAGAGGGUGAUCGGCCACACUGGGACUGAGACACGGCCCAGACUCCUACGGGAGGCAGCAGUAGGGAAUCUUCGGCAAUGGACGAAAGUCUGACCGAGCAACGCCGCGUGAGUGAAGAAGGUUUUCGGAUCGUAAAGCUCUGUUGUAAGAGAAGAACGAGUGUGAGAGUGGAAAGUUCACACUGUGACGGUAUCUUACCAGAAAGGGACGGCUAACUACGUG
This 495-nucleotide ribosomal RNA is filed under the name uncultured bacterium. RNAcentral describes it as "partial 16S ribosomal RNA". It matches the Rfam family "Bacterial small subunit ribosomal RNA", at positions 28 to 507 of the family's 1533-position model. The record is from RNAcentral.